Molecule: ribosomal RNA, 478 nt
Filed under: uncultured bacterium
Lineage: Bacteria
Description: bacterial SSU rRNA
Rfam family: Bacterial small subunit ribosomal RNA
Source: RNAcentral
CUCUGUGACUCCUACGGGAGGCAGCAGUGGGGAAUAUUGCACAAUGGGGGAAACCCUGAUGCAGCCAUGCCGCGUGUGUGAAGAAGGCCUUCGGGUUGUAAAGCACUUUCAGUAGGGAGGAAGGUAGUGUAGUUAACACCUGCAUUAUUUGACGUUACCUACAGAAGAAGCACCGGCUAACUCCGUGCCCAGCAGCCGCGGUAAUACGGAGGGUGCGAGCGUUAAUCGGAAUUACUGGGCGUAAAGCGCAUGCAGGCGGCCUGUUAAGUCAGAUGUGAAAGCCCGGGGCUUAACCCUCGGAAUUGCAUUUUGAAACUGGCAGGCUAGAGUCUUGUAGAGGGGGGUAGAAGUUUCAGGUGUAGCGGUGAAAUGCGUAGAGAUCUGAAGGAAUACCAGUGGCGAAGGCGGCCCCCCUGGACAAAGACUGACGCUCAGAUGCGAAAGCGUGGGGAGCAAACAGGAUUAGAUACCCUGGUAG